Molecule: ribosomal RNA, 497 nt
Filed under: uncultured bacterium
Lineage: Bacteria
Description: partial 16S ribosomal RNA
Rfam family: Bacterial small subunit ribosomal RNA
Source: RNAcentral
GAUGAACGCUGGCGGCGUGCCUAAUACAUGCAAGUCGAGCGAACAGAUGAGGAGCUUGCUCCUCUGACGUUAGCGGCGGACGGGUGAGUAACACGUGGAUAACCUACCUAUAAGACUGGGAUAACUUCGGGAAACCGGAGCUAAUACCGGAUAAUAUAUUGAACCGCAUGGUUCAAUAGUGAAAGACGGUUUUGCUGUCACUUAUAGAUGGAUCCGCGCCGCAUUAGCUAGUUGGUAAGGUAACGGCUUACCAAGGCAACGAUGCGUAGCCGACCUGAGAGGGUGAUCGGCCACCAUGGAACUGAGAAACGGUCCAGACUCCUACGGGAGGCAGCAGUAGGGAAUCUUCCGCAAUGGGCGAAAGCCUGACGGAGCAACGGCGCGUGAGUUAUGAAGGUCUUCGGAUCGUAAAACUCUGUUAUUAGGGAAGAACAAAUGUGUAAGUAACUAUGCACGUCUUGACGGUACCUAAUCAGAAAGCCACGGCUAACUACGUG